This 1455-nucleotide long non-coding RNA is filed under the name Homo sapiens (human). RNAcentral's name for it is "non-protein coding lnc-ARL4A-54:7". Lineage: Eukaryota; Metazoa; Chordata; Mammalia; Primates; Hominidae. The record is from RNAcentral.
UUUUAACAAUAAGUAGUUGUAGAUUCCUAAAUGGUGGCCUAAAGCAGGUUGAGAAAGGGAUGCAUAGUUAGAAGUAGAAUAAUAGUUUACUGAUGACCUUCAUUAAGUCUUUACUCUUUUCUCAGCAAAGCUAGAGGAAACCAAAGUCAUAGAACAUCUGAACUCUGUCCAAACAUCGGUCGUAUUUCAAAAUUUCAGCCCACCAAUAUGCUACAGUGCCCUGAUGCCUACGUCUACUGCUGAGUAAAUACUCAGCUUUGCUCAUGUAACUGGACCAGCAUAUUUGUCUGGAGCUGAUGCUGCCCUCUGGCUGCCAAUGUGAAUUAAAUCCUUACAGAAAUAACUAAGCUUCAUCACAAACAAGCAAGUUCAGUUUUGGAACUGAAUCUUUGAUAAGGUUCUCUGAGAAGCCCUCAUUCUGGAUCAUGAAGUCAAUACUCACUUCAUACUCUCUUAACAGUAUAGCACUUCUAAAGGGCAACAUCUCAGCUCCCUCUGUUUCUAGCACUCAAUAUUGCCAAUGAAAGGAAAUUUUUUAAAAAACCAUGUUCUGUAAGAAUAAAAAUAAACAAACUUCAUAGAAAAUCACAAUGAGACAAAUUCUUUUACCAGUGUCUCUGGCUUUCACAUGUUUUUGCAUAAUGAAAGGGCUAAUAUAACAUAACAAAUCCUAAACUGUUUUCACAAGGAGUGGAAAAAAGAUGUGUAAAAGUAUGCUCUGUCUUGCUUCCUUCUGUUCACAAUGUAUCUAAAUAAAACAAAUGGUGUUCUUGCUCUUUCUGUCUGUUUCCCAAUCUGUUUGGAUAGUAGCCACCAUCCCGCAGCCAACGAUAAUAUCUGACACUUCCUGACAUCAUGAAAGCCACCAUCUGUCUAUCACCAAAACCCUGUACUUUUUAAAGACUACUUGGCUUGAUCCUUAAUGAAGCUUCAAGUUGAAUGCACAGAUCGCUUUAGAAGGAAUACAAGGAAUAAUUGACACAAGGUAUCUGUAUAAAAUCACGUUCUCAUUAGAUUCCAUUUGAAAACAUAAAAUGAAAUAUUAAGGCCCCUUUCAGGCAGAAAAAGCAUGGUUUACUUUCAAUUGUGUUUCAUUUCCGAUUUGCCUGUGAAAGUUUAGACAGUGUUGAACACCAGGAAUAAACCUAAACUAAAGCCUAAGCUUUAAAUUCAAUAUUUUCCAGUCUUGUAAAAUUAAACAGUUAGACAUGACUUUGCAGUUUGUAUACUUGAGCUAUGAAAAAAGAAGAAAAUCCAUCAAUUAUUUUUCCAAGGCUUGAGAAAAUCAUGCCAUUUAAAACUGAAUCAACUUCUUUAACACCUGAACGAUUAUCCAGGAAACAAAAGAAGGUUCUGUAUGUCUUCACUUGUAAAUGUCACAGGUGAACACAAACAACCCUGUGCUGGCAAUGUCAAGUCACUCUUUGUUUUAUUAAACUGUUGUACCUCUAUGUG